CGGUACAGACAAUUUUGACCCGUUGAGCCGAACGGAGAGCAUUUUGAUUAUUUCGCCUUCAGAGGUGAUUUUUGGCCGACUUGUCCAGUUGAGUAAAUAAUUAAUAUGACAUAAAAUAUGAAGAAAUAUUACUAAAAAUUAAUGUGAAAAUGAGUAGAGAAAAGAAGAAAAGAAAAUGAAAGAAAAACCUAAAUAUGACAUCACAUGAUGUCAUUUGGAGGGCUUCCACCAAUCACAACCUAAUAAGCCAAAUUAAAAAGAGAAAAAAAUAGCCUAAAUCUUCAAUAAAGUUUUUGAAUAAAUAAAUCAAGGACUGUAAUGAAAUCAGAUAAAAUAGAGUGCUCCGGCACACUGAGUGGCAUAACUUG
Molecule: unclassified non-coding RNA, 368 nt
Filed under: Hevea brasiliensis (rubber tree)
Lineage: Eukaryota; Viridiplantae; Streptophyta; Magnoliopsida; Malpighiales; Euphorbiaceae
Source: RNAcentral